Molecule: ribosomal RNA, 492 nt
Filed under: uncultured bacterium
Lineage: Bacteria
Description: partial 16S ribosomal RNA
Rfam family: Bacterial small subunit ribosomal RNA
Source: RNAcentral
AGUGAACGCUGGCGGUAUGCCUAAUACAUGCAAGUCGAACGGACGCACAGUAAGCGUUCUCCCCUAACGGUGGCGGGUGGCGGACGGGUGAGACAUAGAUAACCUUCCUAUAAUACGUGGGGGACAUCGUGGAGCAAGUUACGAUACCACCGCAUAUGACCUACGGGUUAAAUCAGGAGAUAUAGGCAGCUUGCCCGUCUCAAAGAGCCGACGCCGCAUUAGCUAGUUGGCAUGGUAAAGGCACACCAAGGCGACGAUCCGUAGCUGGUCUGAGAGGAUGAUCGGCCACACUGGAACUGAGACACGGUCCAGACUCCUACGGGAGGCAGCAGUAGGGAAUCUUCGACAAUGGGCGAAAGCCUGACCCAGCAAUGCCGCGUGGGUGAUGAAGGUCUUCGGGUCGUAAAGCCCUUUUGUUAGGAAAGAAAAACUGUGUAAGAAUACAUGCCCGUCUUGACGGUACCUAAUCAGAAAGCCACGGCUAACUACGUG